RNAcentral lists this ribosomal RNA (395 nucleotides) under uncultured bacterium. Its description in RNAcentral is "partial 16S ribosomal RNA". It matches the Rfam family "Bacterial small subunit ribosomal RNA", at positions 523 to 917 of the family's 1533-position model. The record is from RNAcentral.
AUACGGAGGGUCCGAGCGUUAAUCGGAAUUACUGGGCGUAAAGCGCGCGUAGGUGGUUCAGUCAGUCAGAUGUGAAAGCCCCGGGCUCAACCUGGGAACUGCACCUGAUACUGCUGAGCUAGAGUACGGUAGAGGGCAGUGGAAUUUCCGGUGUAGCGGUGAAAUGCGUAGAGAUCGGAAGGAACACCAGUGGCGAAGGCGAAUGCCUGGACUGAUACUGACACUGAGGUGCGAAAGCGUGGGUAGCAAACAGGAUUAGAUACCCUGGUAGUCCACGCCGUAAACGAUGUCAACUAGCCGUUGGGGGACUUGAUCCUUUAGUGGCGAAGCUAACGCGAUAAGUUGACCGCCUGGGGAGUACGGCCGCAAGGUUAAAACUCAAAUGAAUUGACGGG